This 33-nucleotide small RNA is filed under the name Arabidopsis thaliana (thale cress). RNAcentral describes it as "ATSL100260". The record is from RNAcentral. Lineage: Eukaryota; Viridiplantae; Streptophyta; Magnoliopsida; Brassicales; Brassicaceae.
GUAGUUUAGGUUGAGACCGAUAUUUAAUUUUAU